CACGCCGUAAACGAUGAGUACUAAGUGUCGGGGGAAUCUCGGUGCUGAAGCAAAUGUAUUAAGUACUCCGCCUGAGUAGUACGUGCGCAAGCAUGAAACUCAAAGGAAUUGACGGGACCCUGCACAAGCGGUGGAUCAUGUUGUUUAAUUCGUGGAUACGCGAAGAACCUUACCAGGCCUUGACAUCUUCUGCAAAGUUAUAGAGAUAUAGUGGAGGGUAACAGAAAGACAGGUGG
RNAcentral lists this ribosomal RNA (236 nucleotides) under uncultured Acholeplasma sp. RNAcentral's name for it is "partial 16S ribosomal RNA". It matches the Rfam family "Bacterial small subunit ribosomal RNA", at positions 796 to 1041 of the family's 1533-position model. The record is from RNAcentral. Lineage: Bacteria; Bacillati; Mycoplasmatota; Mollicutes; Acholeplasmatales; Acholeplasmataceae.